RNAcentral lists this ribosomal RNA (253 nucleotides) under uncultured bacterium. RNAcentral describes it as "partial 16S ribosomal RNA". It matches the Rfam family "Bacterial small subunit ribosomal RNA", at positions 524 to 776 of the family's 1533-position model. The record is from RNAcentral.
UACGGAGGGUCCAAGCGUUAUCCGGAUUUAUUGGGUUUAAAGGGUGCGUAGGUGGCUUUUUAAGUCAGGGGUGAAAGACGGUAGCUUAACUAUCGCAGUGCCUUUGAUACUGAAGAGCUUGAAUGAACUAGAGGUAGGCGGAAUGUGACAAGUAGCGGUGAAAUGCAUAGAUAUGUCACAGAACACCAAUUGCGAAGGCAGCUUACUAUGGUUUUAUUGACACUGAGGCACGAAAGCGUGGGGAUCAAACAGG